This 113-nucleotide small RNA is filed under the name Pseudocitrobacter vendiensis. RNAcentral's name for it is "tp2". It matches the Rfam family "tp2". The record is from RNAcentral. Lineage: Bacteria; Pseudomonadati; Pseudomonadota; Gammaproteobacteria; Enterobacterales; Enterobacteriaceae.
GGUUUUCCUUAUCUAUCUAGUACGUUGAUUUAUCUGGAACCUGUCCCAUUGUGCUUUCACGGGAAAACACAAUAAGACAGGUUCUGUGUUUAGUUGCCGUGCGCCUUAAGGCG